Molecule: ribosomal RNA, 497 nt
Filed under: uncultured bacterium
Lineage: Bacteria
Description: bacterial SSU rRNA
Rfam family: Bacterial small subunit ribosomal RNA
Source: RNAcentral
GAUGAACGCUAGCUACAGGCUUAACACAUGCAAGUCGAGGGACAGCACAGUGUAGCAAUACAUGGGUGGCGACCGGCGCACGGGUGCGUAACGCGUAUCCAACCUUCCCGUUACUCAGGGAUAGCCUUCCGAAAGGGAGAUUAAUACCUGAUGGUGUUCAAAUUCCGCAUGUUAUUUGAAUUAAAGAUUUAUCGGUAACGGAUGGGGAUGCGUGACAUUAGGUAGAUGGCGGGGUAACGGCCCACCAUGCCCACGAUGUCUAGGGGUUCUGAGAGGAAGGUCCCCCACACUGGAACUGAGACACGGUCCAGACUCCUACGGGAGGCAGCAGUGAGGAAUAUUGGUCAAUGGUCGAGAGACUGAACCAGCCAAGUCGCGUGAGGGAAGACGGGCCCUAUGGGGUCUUAAACUUCUUUUUGUAAGGGAGCAAUAAGUUCUACGUGUAGGAUGAUGAGAGUACCUACGAAUAAGCAUCGGCUAACUCCGUGCCAGCAGCC